GAUGAAUGCUGGCGGCGUGCUUAACACAUGCAAGUCGAGCGAGAGAGUUUCUUCGGAAACAAUCUAGCGGCGGACGGGUGAGUAACACGUGGGCAACCUGCCUUGUAGUGGGGGAUAGCCCUCCGAAAGGAGGAUUAAUACCGCAUAUUGUCACAUUGAGGCAUCUCAAAGUGAUGAAAGGAGUAAUCCGCUACAAGAUGGGCCCGCGGCGCAUUAGCUAGUUGGUGAGGUAACGGCUCACCAAGGCGACGAUGCGUAGCCGACCUGAGAGGGUGACCGGCCCCAUUGGGACUGAGACACGGCCCAGACUCCCACGGGAGGCAGCAGUGGGGAAUAUUGCACGAUGGGAGAAACCCUGAUGCAGCAACGCCGCGUGAGUGAUGAAGGUCUUCGGAUUGUAAAGCUCUGUCUUCAGGGACGAUAAUGACGGUACCUGAGGAGGAAGCCACGGCUAACUACGUGCCAGCCGCCGCCGUAA
This 478-nucleotide ribosomal RNA is filed under the name uncultured bacterium. RNAcentral describes it as "partial 16S ribosomal RNA". It matches the Rfam family "Bacterial small subunit ribosomal RNA", at positions 28 to 523 of the family's 1533-position model. The record is from RNAcentral.